RNAcentral lists this ribosomal RNA (501 nucleotides) under uncultured bacterium. RNAcentral describes it as "partial 16S ribosomal RNA". It matches the Rfam family "Bacterial small subunit ribosomal RNA", at positions 30 to 523 of the family's 1533-position model. The record is from RNAcentral.
AUUGAACGCUGGCGGCAUGCCUUACACAUGCAAGUCGAACGGCAGCACGGGUGCUUGCACCUGGUGGCGAGUGGCGAACGGGUGAGUAAUAUAUCGGAACGUACCUUAUUGUGGGGGAUAACGCAGCGAAAGCUGUGCUAAUACCGCAUAAUCCCUAAGGGGGAAAGCGGGGGACCGUAAGGCCUCGCGCAAUUAGAGCGGCCGAUACCUGAUUAGCUAGUUGGUGAGGUAAAGGCUCACCAAGGCAACGAUCAGUAGCUGGUCUGAGAGGACGAUCAGGCACACUGGGACGAGGACACGGCCCAGACUCCUACGGGAGGCAGCAGUGGGGAAUUUUGGACAAUGGGGGCAACCCUGAUCCAGCAAUGCCGCGUGAGUGAAGAAGGCCUUCGGGUUGUAAAGCUCUUUUGUCAGGGAAGAAACAGCAGCUCUAACACAGUUUGCGAAUGACGGUACCUGAAGAAUAAGCACCGGCUAACUACGUGCCAGCCGCCGCAGUAA